RNAcentral lists this ribosomal RNA (532 nucleotides) under uncultured fungus. Its description in RNAcentral is "eukaryotic LSU rRNA". The stretch from base 177 to 330 matches the Rfam family "5.8S ribosomal RNA". The record is from RNAcentral. Lineage: Eukaryota; Fungi.
CAUUAUUGAUUGUAAACUGUUGCCCUCUGUGCUGGCUCCUGCAAGUGCACGUUGGUGACUUUCAUUCCAAUACCCCUGUGAACCUUUGGCCUCUUGCUAGCUUCCGCUGGCAGAGGAUUCUACAUACAAACUCGAAUGUAAUGAAACUCUUGUUGUGCACAAGCACUACUAUAUACAACUUUCAACAACGGAUCUCUUGGCCCUCGCAUCGAUGAAGAACGCAGCGAAAUGCGAUAAGUAAUGUGGAUUGCAGAAUUCAGUGAAUCAUCGAAUCUUUGAACGCACCUUGCACCCUUUGGCAUUCUGAAGGGUAUGCUCGUUUGAGUGUCAUUGUACUCUCACACUUCCGAUCUUGCAUUGGGAGCGGUGGACUUGGGUUUGCUGCCUUACCGUAGCUUACCUCAAAUGUGUUAGUGCAGCUCUUGGUUGGACAUAAUACGGCGUGAUAAGUAUCUUCGCCGGUGCCUCGCAAGAGGGUGGCCGAUCAGGAUGGUGUGCUCCAAACCGUCUUCGGACAAUCUCUGACAACUUG